GAUGAACGCUGGCGGCGUGCUUAACACAUGCAAGUCGAACGGAAAGGCUCCUGCUUGCAGGGGUACUCGAGUGGCGAACGGGUGAGUAACACGUGGGUGAUCUGCCCUGCACUUCGGGAUAAGCCUGGGAAACUGGGUCUAAUACCGGAUAGGACCACAUUUUGGAUGGUGUGGUGGAAAGUUUUUCGGUGUGGGAUGAGCUCGCGGCCUAUCAGCUUGUUGGUGGGGUAGUGGCCUACCAAGGCGUCGACGGGUAGCCGGCCUGAGAGGGUGUACGGCCACAUUGGGACUGAGAUACGGCCCAGACUCCUACGGGAGGCAGCAGUGGGGAAUAUUGCACAAUGGGCGCAAGCCUGAUGCAGCGACGCCGCGUGGGGGAUGACGGCCUUCGGGUUGUAAACUCCUUUCGCUAGGGACGAAGCGCAAGUGACGGUACCUGGAGAAGAAGCACCGGCUAACUACGUG
RNAcentral lists this ribosomal RNA (465 nucleotides) under uncultured bacterium. RNAcentral describes it as "partial 16S ribosomal RNA". It matches the Rfam family "Bacterial small subunit ribosomal RNA", at positions 28 to 507 of the family's 1533-position model. The record is from RNAcentral.